CACCAGACUCCUACGGGAGGCAGCAGUGGGGAAUAUUGCACAAUGGGGGAAACCCUGAUGCAGCGACGCCGCGUGAGUGAAGAAGUCAUUCGUGAUGUAAAGCUCUAUCAGCAGGGAAGAAAAUGACGGUACCUGACCAAGAAGCCCCGGCUAACUACGUGCCAGCAGCCGCGGUAAUACGUAGGGGGCAAGCGUUAUCCGGAUUUACUGGGUGUAAAGGGAGCGUAGACGGUGAUGCAAGUCAGAAGUGAAAGCCCGGGGCUCAACUCCGGGACUGCUUUUGAAACUGUGUGACUGGAGUGCAGGAGAGGUAAGCGGAAUUCCUGGUGUAGCGGUGAAAUGCGUAGAUAUCAGGAGGAACACCAGUGGCGAAGGCGGCUUACUGGACUGUAACUGACGUUGAGGCUCGAAAGCGUGGGGAGCAAACAGGAUUAGAUACCCCUGUAA
RNAcentral lists this ribosomal RNA (447 nucleotides) under uncultured bacterium. RNAcentral's name for it is "bacterial SSU rRNA". It matches the Rfam family "Bacterial small subunit ribosomal RNA", at positions 329 to 793 of the family's 1533-position model. The record is from RNAcentral.